UGUAAGGGAACUUUCGCUAAAGGCGUGUACGUCCUGUAUGCAACGCGGAAGCCACCGCAUCCUGCGGA
This is a small RNA of Sporolactobacillus inulinus CASD, 68 nucleotides long. It matches the Rfam family "Bacillaceae-1 RNA". NCBI's taxonomy places the organism in Bacteria, Bacillati, Bacillota, Bacilli, Caryophanales, Sporolactobacillaceae. The record is from Rfam.